This 468-nucleotide ribosomal RNA is filed under the name uncultured bacterium. RNAcentral describes it as "partial 16S ribosomal RNA". It matches the Rfam family "Bacterial small subunit ribosomal RNA", at positions 28 to 507 of the family's 1533-position model. The record is from RNAcentral.
GACGAACGCUGGCGGCGUGCUUAACACAUGCAAGUCGAACGGAAAGGCCCUGCUUGUGUGGGGUGCUCGAGUGGCGAACGGGUGAGUAACACGUGAGUAACCUGCCCUUGACUUUGGGAUAACUUCAGGAAACUGGGGCUAAUACCGGAUAGGAGCUCCUGCUGCAUGGUGGGGGUUGGAAAGUUUCGGCGGGUGGGGAUGGACUCGCGGCUUAUCAGCUUGUUGGUGGGGUAGUGGCUUACCAAGGCUUUGACGGGUAGCCGGCCUGAGAGGGUGACCGGCCACAUUGGGACUGAGAUACGGACCAGAGUCCUACGGGAGGCAGCAGUGGGGAAUAUUGCACAAUGGGCGGAAGCCGGAUGAAGCAACGCCGCGUGCGGGAUGACGGCCUUCGGGUUGUGAACCGCUUUCGCCUGUGACGAAGCGUGAGUGACGGUAAUGAGUAAAGAAGCACCGGCUAACUACGUG